This 425-nucleotide small RNA is filed under the name Pan troglodytes (chimpanzee). RNAcentral describes it as "retained intron". Lineage: Eukaryota; Metazoa; Chordata; Mammalia; Primates; Hominidae. The record is from RNAcentral.
AAACCCUGUAUCUAGCUUUGGGGGCUGUGAAGAACAUCUCCCUAAACAUCUCUAUCUCCAACCUCGGAGAUGAUGCCUAUGAUGCCAACGUGUCCUUCAAUGUUUCCCGGGAGCUCUUCUUCAUCAACAUGUGGCAGAAGGAGGAGAUGGGCAUCUCCUGUGAGCUGCUGGAAUCGGACUUCCUCAAAUGCAGCGUGGGAUUUCCUUUCAUGAGGUCAAAGUCAAAGGUAAGGGACACAGACGGGACCCUUACUCGGCAGCAGGCCCCCAGCCCUUCCACCAGCCACUGAUUCCACCUCCCUGAGGUGAGGAGUCCUCCCACCCCCUGCCUCCCAUAGCAGCUGGGGCGGCCACUGAAGCCCUGACAUGCUCCUGUCCCUGGCUGUGUACACCGGGGUAUACUCCGGAGAGGCUGCAUCAUAUGG